This 515-nucleotide ribosomal RNA is filed under the name uncultured bacterium. RNAcentral's name for it is "partial 16S ribosomal RNA". It matches the Rfam family "Bacterial small subunit ribosomal RNA", at positions 28 to 523 of the family's 1533-position model. The record is from RNAcentral.
GAUGAACGCUGGCGGCGUGCCUAAUACAUGCAAGUCGAGCGAAUGGAUUGAGAGCUUGCUCUUAUGAAGUUAGCGGCGGACGGGUGAGUAGCACGUGGGUAACCUGCCCAUAAGACUGGGAUAACUCCGGGAAACCGGGGCUAAUACCGGAUAACAUUUUGAACCGCAUGGUUCGAAAUUGAAAGGCGGCUUCGGCUGUCACUUAUGGAUGGACCCGCGUCGCAUUAGCUAGUUGGUGAGGUAACGGCUCACCAAGGCAACGAUGCGUAGCCGACCUGAGAGGGUGAUCGGCCACACUGGGACUGAGACACGGCCCAGACUCCUACGGGAGGCAGCAGUAGAGAAUCUUCCGCAAUGGACGAAAGUCUGACGGAGCAACGCCGCGUGAGUGAUGAAGGCUUUCGGGUCGUAAAACUCUGUUGUUAGGGAAGAACAAGUGCUAGUUGAAUAAGCUGGCACCUUGACGGUACCUAACCAGAGAGCCACGGCUAACUACGUGCCAGCCGCCGCAGUAA